This 508-nucleotide ribosomal RNA is filed under the name Priasilpha obscura. Its description in RNAcentral is "partial 16S ribosomal RNA". The stretch from base 381 to 508 matches the Rfam family "Bacterial large subunit ribosomal RNA", at positions 2473 to 2600 of the family's 2925-position model. The record is from RNAcentral. Lineage: Eukaryota; Metazoa; Arthropoda; Insecta; Coleoptera; Phloeostichidae.
GUCUUAUUGAGUAUAAUUUUAAGUCUGACCUGCCCACUGAUUUUUAAAUGGCCGCGGUAUUUUGACCGUGCAAAGGUAGCAUAAUCAUUAGUUUUUUAAUUGAAAGCUGGAAUGAAAGGUUGAAUGAAAAAAUAACUGUCUCUAUUUAAAUUUUAGAAUUUUAUUUUUAAGUUAAAAAGCUUAAAUUUGAUUAAAAGACGAGAAGACCCUAUAGAGUUUUAUAUUAAAUUAUAAAUAUUUUUUUAAGAAUUAAUAAUUUAUUUAUUUUUUAAUAUUAGGUUGGGGUGAUUGAAAAAUUUAAUAAACUUUUUUUAUAUAUUUACAUUUAUUUAUGAAAUUUUGAUCCAUUAUUAAUGAUUAUAAGAAUAAAUUACCUUAGGGAUAACAGCGUUAUUUUUUUUAAGAGUUCUUAUCGAAAAAAAAGUUUGCGACCUCGAUGUUGGAUUAAAAUUAAAUUUUGGUGUAGAAGCUAAAAAAUUUAGGUCUGUUCGACCUUUAAAAUUUUACA